This is a non-coding RNA of Ceratotherium simum simum (southern white rhinoceros), 1089 nucleotides long. The record is from RefSeq and is a predicted model, not a curated record. Lineage: Eukaryota; Metazoa; Chordata; Mammalia; Perissodactyla; Rhinocerotidae.
CCUCUGUCUCCCCGCCCCUCGCCCUCGGCCCUUUCUCUCCCAGCACCUCGGGCGGCGGCGGCGACGACGACGACGACGACGACGACCCGAGCAGCAGCGAGCAGCGGGAGCAGGCGGCCUCGAGGACGAAGUGCAAGCCGAACCAGACGCGGACCUACGACCCGGAGGGGUUCAAGAAGCGGGCGGCGUGCCUGUGCUUCCGCAGCGAGCGCGAGGACGAGGUGCUGUUAGUGAGUAGCAGUCGGUACCCGGACCGCUGGAUCGUGCCGGGCGGGGGCAUGGAGCCCGAGGAGGAGCCGGGCGGUGCGGCGGUCCGAGAGGUGUACGAAGAGGCGGGAGUCAAGGGGAAGUUAGGCCGGCUCCUGGGCAUUUUCGAACAGAACCAAGAUCGCAAGCACCGAACGUACGUGUAUGUACUGACUGUCACUGAGAUUCUGGAGGAUUGGGAAGAUUCGGUUAGCAUUGGGAGGAAGCGAGAGUGGUUCAAAAUCGAAGAUGCGAUCAAGGUUCUCCGGUGCCACAAGCCCGUGCAUGCCGAAUAUCUGGAAAAACUAAAGCUGGGCGGUUCCCCAACCAAUGGAAACUCCGUGGCCCCGUCCCUGCCAGAGAGCGAUGCCUAGUACGUGAAUGGCAUAGAUGUUGUUCAGAUUUACUUUGAAAGAGUCAAGUAUGUGAACCCAAUGAUGAAUGGAAUUGUGAAGCACAGGUGAGCUCUUUUACAUUCCCAAGGACACAGCUCAUCCUAUGCUUUUGGACACUUCUUCCCUCUUUAUUAAAAUGACUAUUCUCCAGGUUGUUGUACUACCGCUGUAUCUGUACAGACUUCUAAUUUGGUACCUAUGGCCUUUUUAGUGCUUUUAUGAUUAUGUGUAUUUAUUUCCCACCAGGUUAUAUGACCUUGAGUGUAAGGACCUUGUUUCUCUAGUCUUUUUAUAUAUCUAGCAUACUAGACAUCACAGUGAUGUCUAGCAUAUGGUAGACAUCACUGAAAGUUUGUCCAAAUAAUUAAUAUUUUGUAAUGACACUGAGUGGUAAAGCAUUCACCUUCUAAUCUGGUGUUAGUUUAGUAAAUGCUGUCUGUCUAGCAUA